AUUGAACGCUGGCGGCAUGCCUUACACAUGCAAGUCGAACGGCAGCACGGGUGCUUGCACCUGUUGGCGAGUGGCGAACGGGUGAGUAAUACAUCGGAACAUGUCCUGUAGUGGGGGAUAGCCCGGCGAAAGCCGGAUUAAUACCGCAUACGAUCCACGGAUGAAAGCGGGGGACCUUCGGGCCUCGCGCUAUAGGGUUGGCCGAUGGCUGAUUAGCUAGUUGGUGGGGUAAAGGCCUACCAAGGCGACGAUCAGUAGCUGGUCUGAGAGGACGACCAGCCACACUGGGACUGAGACACGGCCCAGACUCCUACGGGAGGCAGCAGUGGGGAAUUUUGGACAAUGGGCGAAAGCCUGAUCCAGCAAUGCCGCGUGUGUGAAGAAGGCCUUCGGGUUGUAAAGCACUUUUGUCCGGAAAGAAAUCCUUGACUCUAAUACAGUCGGGGGAUGACGGUACCGGAAGAAUAAGCACCGGCUAACUACGUG
RNAcentral lists this ribosomal RNA (486 nucleotides) under uncultured bacterium. Its description in RNAcentral is "partial 16S ribosomal RNA". It matches the Rfam family "Bacterial small subunit ribosomal RNA", at positions 30 to 507 of the family's 1533-position model. The record is from RNAcentral.